UACGAAGGGGGCUAGCGUUGUUCGGAAUCACUGGGCGUAAGGCGCACGUAGGCGGAUUUUUAAGUCAGGGGUGAAAUCCCGAGGCUCAACCUCGGAACUGCCUUUGAUACUGGAGAUCUUGAGUCCGGAAGAGGUAAGUGGAACUGCGAGUGUAGAGGUGAAAUUCGUAGAUAUUCGGAAGAACACCAGUGGCGAAGGCGACUUACUGGACACAUAUUGACGCUGAGGUGCGAAAGCGUGGGGAGCAAACAGG
RNAcentral lists this ribosomal RNA (253 nucleotides) under uncultured bacterium. Its description in RNAcentral is "partial 16S ribosomal RNA". It matches the Rfam family "Bacterial small subunit ribosomal RNA", at positions 524 to 776 of the family's 1533-position model. The record is from RNAcentral.